AGAGUUUGAUCCUGGCUCAGGACGAACGCUGGCGGCGUGCUUAACACAUGCAAGUCGAACGGUGAAGCAGAGCUUGCUCUGCGGAUCAGUGGCGAACGGGUGAGUAACACGUGAGUAACCUGCCCCUCACUCUGGGAUAAGCGCUGGAAACGGCGUCUAAUACCGGAUACGACCUUCGGAGGCAUCUUCAGGAGGUGGAAAGAAUUUCGGUGGGGGAUGGACUCGCGGCCUAUCAGGUAGUUGGUGAGGUAACGGCUCACCAAGCCGACGACGGGUAGCCGGCCUGAGAGGGUGACCGGCCACACUGGGACUGAGACACGGCCCAGACUCCUACGGGAGGCAGCAGUGGGGAAUAUUGCACAAUGGGCGCAAGCCUGAUGCAGCAACGCCGCGUGAGGGACGACGGCCUUCGGGUUGUAAACCUCUUUUAGUAGGAAAGAAGGGAGCUUGCUCCUGACGGUACCUGCAGAAAAAGCACCGGCUAACUACGUGCCAGCAGCCGCGGUAAUACGUAGGGUGCAAGCGUUGUCCGGAAUUAUUGGGCGUAAAGAGCUCGUAGGCGGUUUGUCGCGUCUGCUGUGAAAUCCGGAGGCUCAACCUCCGGCCUGCAGUGGGUACGGGCAGACUAGAGUGCGGUAGGGGAGAUUGGAACUCCUGGUGUAGCGGUGGAAUGCGCAGAUAUCAGGAAGAACACCGAUGGCGAAGGCAGAUCUCUGGGCCGUAACUGACGCUGAGGAGCGAAAGCAUGGGGAGCGAACAGGAUUAGAUACCCUAGUAGUCC
RNAcentral lists this ribosomal RNA (781 nucleotides) under uncultured bacterium. RNAcentral describes it as "bacterial SSU rRNA". It matches the Rfam family "Bacterial small subunit ribosomal RNA", at positions 8 to 796 of the family's 1533-position model. The record is from RNAcentral.